AUGACCCUUUUUCUACUAGUGAUGGAAAACAUACUCUUGUUGGAUUCACCAGUCGGUUCCGGUUUUUCGUUCGCUCAUGAUCCCAAAGGCUACGAUGUUGGAUACUAUUCAUCAUCUUCGCAGUGGUUCACGGAUCAUCCGCAAUAUGUUUCAAAUCCUUUCGACAUUGGUGGAGAUUCAUAUGCUGGAAAGGUGAUUCCAGUUAUUGCACAGGGCAUUUCAGAAGGAAUUGACCUGAGGAAGUGA
Molecule: ribosomal RNA, 246 nt
Filed under: Triticum aestivum (bread wheat)
Lineage: Eukaryota; Viridiplantae; Streptophyta; Magnoliopsida; Poales; Poaceae
Description: partial small subunit ribosomal RNA
Source: RNAcentral